Molecule: long non-coding RNA, 1926 nt
Organism: Micropterus salmoides (largemouth bass)
Lineage: Eukaryota; Metazoa; Chordata; Actinopteri; Centrarchiformes; Centrarchidae
Exons: 3
Source: RefSeq, a predicted model, not a curated record
UCUCCCUCCAUCAGUUGUGGUGUUAUCUCAUCAGUGGAGGGAACAUCAGUAUUCACCUUCCAGUGUGCAGGCAUGGAAGGUCGCUACGUCAUUGUGACCAUUCCAGGAGACAGGAAGAUUCUGACGCUAUGUGAAGUGAAUGUGUAUGCUUCUCUGGCAGGUAUGGUCUUUGAAUAAUAUGUCCAAUAGAUGGAAAUCAACCAAAAACAUAGAAAACAAGCUAUCAAAUACUUUUAUAUAUUGACGUGGUUCUGUUUCUUAUAUUGUUGGCUUAUGAAGCUAAUGUUGUUGCUGCUGUUGUUGCUGCUACAAUGUCUAAAGUCAGAUACAGCUGGUGAGCAACAAAUGAGAUGUUUACUAUUGAUUUUAACUUUUUCCAUUACUUAAAGAGUACUACGUCAGAAAAAAAUAAAAUCAUAUCUUGGUACAAUGUGAAUUGAUUCCAGUGACUUUUUGGCUACACGGUCAGGUGCUGACCUUCUGACUUUUCUCCCUAUCUUUUCAUUUUGAAACCAAAUCUCCCCAGGCUUGUCUUGACAUUUCAAGACAAGCCUGUUUUUAAAACAACAAUCAAAUGUGAAUUAAGCCAACAGAAACCAACAACAUUCUUUCUCUCCAGAGCCAGAAGUCACUUUUUCUCCUACUACUGCUCCUCCUGCUGCUCCUCCUCCUCCCACUGUGAGCAUUCUCCUGAGUGGCAGGAAUGCGACGGUGGUGGGGAAGAGGCUUUGCUGGUCCGAUGCUCUGUUCUACUGUAGACGUUACUACUGGGACCUGCUUAGCAUUUCCAACCAGGAAGAACAGAGUGAGGUGGAGCAGCUGCUGAACAGCAGUCCUUUCUCCCUCACACAGCAUGUCUGGCUGGGAUUGCGCAGGUACUCUACACUGACAUUGACAUUUUAGAGAUUUAGUUGAUGUUCUGAUUCAGGGCAGCUGUAAAAAUGAACAGAGACAUCAUGGACGACAGGUGGUUCUGGAUGUCUGGCGAUUCCAUGAAAUUUACUAAAUGGCCGCAAAAUCUGGCACCUCCCUUUUACUCCAAUCCCUGUGGAGGCAUGGCCAGUGGCGAGCUCUUCCUGUGGAAUGACCAGCCUUGUGGUGAGCUUUUCAACUUCAUCUGCCUAUCAGGUGCGAAGAGCAGAGCCCAAAGAGUGUAUUUCUACAGCACAAAACAAAGUCCUUAGUGAGGGUUAAAAAUAUUGGAACCUAUAGUUUUAAAAUAGAAAUAGCAAUUUCCUGCACUCCUUGCAAGAUAUCAACUAGUGUGUAUUUGUGUUUCUGCACAAAACAUAGAUCAGAGCCCAAAGUUUCAGUGUCAUUCACUGAUGCAUUCAUUUUCAUGCUCUUCAUAUGCAGAUUAGUGUCACUGAAAUCUCCCGUAACCAGACAUCUGUCUGAUGGAGGAUGGAGGAUGGAGGACUCCAUCUCUUCAGACACUGAGACUAAGAUUGUAAAAUCAUCUGAUAUCAGAUCAAAGUUUUUUUUCUACUCCCAUAUUCUGGAAUGAACUAAGUUGAAAUCAUACAUUAUAAUCCCAGCAUCAGUAGUGACAUUAGAAAAGUGUGAAAUUGCAUUCCUAUAAAUCCCUCUAUAUGAUGUGUUUUAUCGCUAAAUAAAUAUAUAUCGAGUAAAUGUACAGUACAUGUAGCUGUAAAGUUCCUUGUCUUAAUGUUUUAAUAUUUCAUCAUGUCAUCUGGUUUUAAUGUGAGAAAGACCUUGGAGAUGUGAAAUGCACAACUGAACUAUUAAUAGGUCACUGCAUCAACAGUAGUUAAAUUUGCAUUAAACAACAGAAAAUUCUGUAAUUGUCUGAUUGACCUCGAGGUAGGAAAGAAUAAUACAUUUCCAUACUGUGUUGGUGCAUCAUCAUAUGCUAAAAUAUGCAGUUUCUUUGUGGAAAUAAAGCUGAACGAUUGAACUCUUGAA